GUCUAUGGCCAUGCCACCCUGAACAAGCCCGAUCCCAUCUGAUCUUGGAAGCUAAGCAGGGUCUGGCCUGUUUAGUACUUGGAUGGGAGAUCGCCUAGGAAGACCAGGUGCUGUAGGUG
Molecule: ribosomal RNA, 119 nt
Filed under: Pteropus alecto (black flying fox)
Lineage: Eukaryota; Metazoa; Chordata; Mammalia; Chiroptera; Pteropodidae
Source: RNAcentral